CAAACUAUAGUUUAAGAAAAAUUUUUACUUUGGGAGUAAAAGAUGCUAUAUAAUAACUAGUUUGA
Molecule: transfer RNA, 65 nt
Filed under: Dreissena polymorpha
Lineage: Eukaryota; Metazoa; Mollusca; Bivalvia; Myida; Dreissenidae
Description: tRNA-Pro
Source: RNAcentral